This 1004-nucleotide ribosomal RNA is filed under the name Salmonella enterica subsp. enterica serovar Kentucky. Its description in RNAcentral is "partial 23S ribosomal RNA". It matches the Rfam family "Bacterial large subunit ribosomal RNA", at positions 566 to 1554 of the family's 2925-position model. Lineage: Bacteria; Pseudomonadati; Pseudomonadota; Gammaproteobacteria; Enterobacterales; Enterobacteriaceae. The record is from RNAcentral.
UGCGACGCCCAACACACAAAACAAGCGGUGAGUGCUUUGGGGUGGGGUGACUGCGUACCUUUUGUAUAAUGGGUCAGCGACUUAUAUUCUGUAGCAAGGUUAACCGUAUAGGGGAGCCGAAGGGAAACCGAGUCUUAACUGGGCGUUAAGUUGCAGGGUAUAGACCCGAAACCCGGUGAUCUAGCCAUGGGCAGGUUGAAGGUUGGGUAACACUAACUGGAGGACCGAACCGACUAAUGUUGAAAAAUUAGCGGAUGACUUGUGGCUGGGGGUGAAAGGCCAAUCAAACCGGGAGAUAGCUGGUUCUCCCCGAAAGCUAUUUAGGUAGCGCCUCGUGAACUCAUCUUCGGGGGUAGAGCACUGUUUCGGCUAGGGGGUCAUCCCGACUUACCAACCCGAUGCAAACUGCGAAUACCGAAGAAUGUUAUCACGGGAGACACACGGCGGGUGCUAACGUCCGUCGUGAAGAGGGAAACAACCCAGACCGCCAGCUAAGGUCCCAAAGUCACAGUUAAGUGGGAAACGAUGUGGGAAGGCUCAGACAGCCAGGAUGUUGGCUUAGAAGCAGCCAUCAUUUAAAGAAAGCGUAAUAGCUCACUGGUCGAGUCGGCCUGCGCGGAAGAUGUAACGGGGCUAAACUGUGCACCGAAGCUGCGGCAGCGACGCUUAUGCGUUGUUGGGUAGGGGAGCGUUCUGUAAGCCUGCGAAGGUGUCCUGUGAGGGAUGCUGGAGGUAUCAGAAGUGCGAAUGCUGACAUAAGUAACGAUAAUGCGGGUGAAAAGCCCGCUCGCCGGAAGACCAAGGGUUCCUGUCCAACGUUAAUCGGGGCAGGGUGAGUCGACCCCUAAGGCGAGGCCGAAAGGCGUAGUCGAUGGGAAACGGGUUAAUAUUCCCGUACUUGGUGUUACUGCGAAGGGGGGACGGAGAAGGCUAUGUUGGCCGGGCGACGGUUGUCCCGGUUUAAGCGUGUAGGCUGGUUUUCCAGGCAAAUCCGGAAAAUCAAG